Molecule: RNA transcript, 1845 nt
Organism: Solanum tuberosum (potato)
Lineage: Eukaryota; Viridiplantae; Streptophyta; Magnoliopsida; Solanales; Solanaceae
Gene name: hippocampus abundant transcript-like protein 1
Exons: 15
Source: RefSeq, a predicted model, not a curated record
AUAACAAUAAUCCCUUAAGUUUUAUAGAUUCUUUUAAGACAAAUAUAGAGUUUCACUCAAAAUUAUUUAGUUCAGCUGAACUAGUAAGCACACUCACCCUUCCUCCCUGCGGGGCUGCGGCCAUCCUGAUUUGAAAUUCGACUGAUUUUGAAACAGGAACUAUGGUCUGCUUUCUUUGGAAAUCAUUGCGCAGUGUAAAUUCAAAAUACUGAUUGAUUUUGAAACCAUUGUAUUUGGUUUUUCAAAGGAAAGCAGGAACAAUGAAGAUGGAUAAAUUGAGCGACUUGAAGCACCUAUUUGUUACUGUAUUUCUUGCAAAUUUUGCGUUGAAUGUGAUUCCUCCUGCCAUAACUGAUAUCACAGUUGGCGCACUCUGCCCUUCUCAAGACGAAUGCUCACUUGCCAUUUAUCUCUCUGGUUUCCAGCAAGCUAUCUUAGGGCUGGGAUCAAUGAUGAUGUUGCCAUUGCUUGGACAUCUAUCUGAUAUAUACGGAAGAAAAGCUUUGCUUACAGUUCCGGUAGCUGCCUCCAUUAUUCCGUCAGUAAUAUUGGCUAUCGGCAGAUCAACAAACUAUUUCUACGUGUAUUAUGCUGUAAAAACCUUCACUGGUAUGGUCAGUGACAGUGGAAUUGAGUGCCUCUCCAUUGCUUAUGCGGCAGCUAACAUAUCAGAAGAAAAACGUGUUUCUGCAAUUGGAUUUGUUGCCGGCAUAGGCUCUGCUGCAUCUCUCUUGGGUACCAUGGCUGCUCGUUUCCUCUCCACUGCACAGAUCUUUCUGAUAGCUGCCAUUUCUUCAAUGGUUGCAACAAUUUACAUGAGAAUAUUUGUAAAGGAGACGAGCGGCCGUAUUGACAGUGAACCUCUAAAUCAACCUAUAUUGGUCGAUAAUGGUGAAGAAUGUUCUCAAUCAAAAAGUGUGUCACAGAGCUUUAAGGAAGUGUUACCACUCAAGGAUAUUUUCUGCUUGCUGAAGAGUAGCGUGACGCUUUCGCUAGCAACAGUGAUUGCUUUCUUGAAUGGUCUAGGAGAAGGUGGACAACAAACUCCAUAUUUGUACUUCUUAAAAGCUCGACUUCAAUACAACAAAGAUAACUUUGCUGUGUUAAUGCUUAUUGGUUACACUGGAGCAGCAAUUGGCCAGUUAUUCUUGAUGCCUCGGUUGGCUCCUAUUACAGGAGAGGAGGCAAUUCUCUCCGUAUCCUGCAUCGCUGGAUUUAUAAGUAUGCUAAUUGUUAGCAUUGCAUGGGCAGUAUGGGUUCCUUAUGUUGCUAAUUUGUUGCCUAUCAUUGCCUUCCUUACAAGACCUGCUUUACAAAGCAUUGUUUCAAAACAAGUUGGACCAAAUGAGCAGGGAAUUGCUCAAGGGUGCAUUGCAGGCAUAAGCUCAUUUGGCAAUAUUCUUUCUCCAUUAAUAUAUACUCCUCUAACAGAUCUAUUUUUAUCUGAGAAGGCUCCAUUCAAUUAUCCUGGAUUCAACUUGUUCUGCGUCGGCCUUGCUUGGUUGAUAGCUUUAAUCCCCAGUAUGAUGAUACAGUUUGGUACCAAAAAUUCAAGACUCAAAAUCAGAGACGGUGGCUGUACCUUGGAUGCCUAAUUUUUGAGGUUCAAAGUUCUUCUUUCUUUCAACUAAUUUUUAAAAAUAUGUAUCAUCUAGGAAGGUUUUCAUUCACUUAAAUCUCAUAAAACUUAGAAGAGAAGUUGUCUCAUCAAAUGACUGAGAUUAACGAGUAAUACGUGCAAUUACAAGCUGUAGGAGAUGGCUCGAUUGACUAGUCAAUAUUUAUCUGGUUUCGAAUUGAACCAGCUACCUGUCACAAGUCACAGCUGUAGAAGUAGAACUAUCC